Molecule: long non-coding RNA, 1041 nt
Organism: Carassius auratus (goldfish)
Lineage: Eukaryota; Metazoa; Chordata; Actinopteri; Cypriniformes; Cyprinidae
Exons: 2
Source: RefSeq, a predicted model, not a curated record
UCUUUGGCUGUUGCAGUAUUAUAUGCCCACGAUCAACAUAUAUCUACAACAAUUUCAAAGUUAAUGCUCAUUAUUCUUAAGGGGUGACAAUAGGGCAACAGAAUCUGAGCCGUUUAAAUGCUAAUGUAUUUGACCAUUAGGGGGCAGUGUAUGACACAUAUAAAAGAUUUUUGAUCUUUUAUAUAUUUGUCUCAUUCGUAUUUGUCGUUUUACUCUGCUCAUGCAGGGUAACUGUAAUGAGAAAACAGCAGAACUGAAACCGUCAUAGCAGGGGACAGAAUCACACGGUGUGUGGUCUACUAGCCAUGGAUAUUAUUGGAUGGCACGCUGAACUACACACCGCACUCAAGCAAACUCCUCUCUCACCAUGAGUUCCCAGUCUGCCUGUAAUAAUAUUGUUCCUUAAACUCUUCUACAAACACAUCACCUCUUUACUCCCCGCUCCCCUCAGUUAGCCUGCGUCGCGUUGGCGCCAGCAGUCACCAGAACUCUGGCACAGAGGCCAGGAAACGUGGUUAUCAUGCCAACCAUUGUGGUCAGUAAGAGGAACGCUUAUAGCCCAGUAACGAUGAUCUCCACAAGUCAUGAGAAUCCAGAAGAACUGAAGAAAAACAAACAGCGAUGGCCUGCGUUGGAAAAAGACCACAUGCAGCAGUUUCGAUAUUCUGAGGUUUGCCCUGGCUUGAGUUUGAAAUGCUGCAAUAGGAUCGCUUACUCACAGCAAAACGUCUGUGGGAUCUGCUGUGUGUAUGCCAGCCCAGGGGUCUCGGCUGGAUCCGCUUUACACAUGCAAUCCAUCCGGUGUGUGUGAUGCAAACUCACAUGGGUUAAACAUACUGCUCACGAACACAUCCCGGAUCAUGUUUGAGUUGAUGAGGAACCGAUGACAGCCGUGUAGAAUUCUCUAACUGCUGGCAUGUAGCAUUGCUUCUGUGGUGUACUGUAAACUGUCUCUGUCCCCAGUUGGGCCUGACUAAAGUACAAAAACAUCAGGCCGGUAUCGCCAUAUGACUGGAACAGUAAACAUUGACCUUUUCUGUU